GAGUGUGCAGGGUUCUGCAUGGUGAGGGACUUAAACUUGGAGUGCUUGCUUAGGCACAUCAGCCAAGAAACAAGAUUCCAGUCACCUGCAUGUCUUCAACUGGGGGAGGAGACUGUGUUCCAGUCUAGCAAGAUGCAGAGACAGACUCCAGAUUGAAGAAGUCCUGAAAAACCAGUUGACACCUGACCUCCCACUCCCCUCCUCAACAACCCUGAGGAUAUUUAACCCAGAA
Long non-coding RNA from Anoplopoma fimbria (sablefish), 232 nucleotides. RefSeq lists it as uncharacterized. The transcript has 3 exons. Lineage: Eukaryota; Metazoa; Chordata; Actinopteri; Perciformes; Anoplopomatidae. The record is from RefSeq and is a predicted model, not a curated record.